UUAUAGGCAACGAAAGGAAAAUAGUAGUGUUUUAUCUCCCUGUUACAGCGAGCUGAUGGUAGGUGCGAAUCAGCCAAAGAUAAGCAUGAAUUACACUCCUGGAGCUUCUUUUUCAAAGGUGAAAAAGACGGUCAUUUGAUCGUUAACAAUGUUAAGAGGUGGACAGAAGUUAUGUUCACAAUAUGGGUGGUACCACGGUGAGAAUCGUCCCUGUC
RNAcentral lists this non-coding RNA (215 nucleotides) under Virgibacillus sp. Its description in RNAcentral is "T-box sequence". It matches the Rfam family "T-box leader". From Rfam's summary of the family: Uncharged tRNA acts as the effector for transcription antitermination of genes in the T-box leader family. T-boxes are found upstream of many aminoacyl-tRNA synthetase genes and some amino acid biosynthetic genes usually in Gram-positive bacteria. Lineage: Bacteria; Bacillati; Bacillota; Bacilli; Caryophanales; Bacillaceae. The record is from RNAcentral.